ACGAAGACUUCAAGGGAUCAGAAGGUGCACUGAAUCCUGAUGAUGGUCUUGGGGAACAACAAAAUCAGAAGCCAAACCAUGAGCUCAAGGUUUCAUAUUCUUCACAGAAAGGGAAGGAAACUCCUGCAGAAGUCAGUUGGUUAGCAGAUUUCAAGGAACAAGAAGAAAAAAUGAAUGAUGCUGAUGGUUCUAUGAACUUCACAGAGAAUCAAGGAGAAAAGGAAGAGAUAAAAGAACAUGGGCAAAAUUCAAGUCAACCCCAGAAAACUACAGACCUCAACAAUUCCAUGGAGGAACUUCCUGGCCUGGAAAUUGAAGAAAAAGUUUUUAAGAAAGAUUCACCUUCUUUGAUGGAUGAUCUCAAUGUUGAAAUACAGGAACAGGAAACAACGCUAGUUGACGAGCCGGACUGGAAGCAGUUGUUCAUGAAUGGUAUGGAGAAUAGAGAAAGAGCUCUACUUACAGAGUAUACUUCAAUCCUUCGGAAUUUUAAGGAAGUAAAGAAGAAGCUUAGUGAAGCAGAAAAAAAGAAUGGGGAUAGCCUCUUUGAUGCAACGGUGCAGGUAAGAG
This 570-nucleotide long non-coding RNA is filed under the name Populus trichocarpa (black cottonwood). RNAcentral describes it as "long non-coding RNA (PTRI_LNC001915)". Lineage: Eukaryota; Viridiplantae; Streptophyta; Magnoliopsida; Malpighiales; Salicaceae. The record is from RNAcentral.